UUAUUAAAGUAAAUUCUACCUAAGACUCGGGUGGCAUGACGCCUUAAUUUCCCGCCGAGGCCAGAAGAUAAUGAAGAGUUUAUGCUCCAUGUCUUUCUUGGCAUGGAGUUUUUAUUUAGGCCUU
Lactobacillus sp. wkB8 is the source of this 124-nucleotide non-coding RNA. NCBI's taxonomy places the organism in Bacteria, Bacillati, Bacillota, Bacilli, Lactobacillales, Lactobacillaceae. The record is from Rfam.